CCAGCUCUCUUUGCCUUUUGGCUUAGAUCAAGUGUAGUAUCUGUUCUUUUCAGUUUAAUCUCUGAAAUGCCUCGAAACGGGGCUUAUCGUGAUUAUUCCCAUUUUUGGCAGCAAGGACGAGAGCGCCUCUGCGUUUACGCAUGGUUCUUGUCCACUGUGUCCCUGGUAUUACACUGCGCCCAGGUGAUGCGAACCUUU
RNAcentral lists this small nuclear RNA (198 nucleotides) under Metarhizium acridum CQMa 102. Its description in RNAcentral is "U2 spliceosomal RNA". It matches the Rfam family "U2 spliceosomal RNA". From Rfam's summary of the family: U2 is a small nuclear RNA (snRNA) component of the spliceosome (involved in pre-mRNA splicing). Complementary binding between U2 snRNA (in an area lying towards the 5' end but 3' to hairpin I) and the branchpoint sequence (BPS) of the intron results the bulging out of an unpaired adenosine, on the BPS, which initiates a nucleophilic attack at the intronic 5' splice site, thus starting the first of two transesterification reactions that mediate splicing. The record is from Rfam by way of RNAcentral. Lineage: Eukaryota; Fungi; Ascomycota; Sordariomycetes; Hypocreales; Clavicipitaceae.